This 495-nucleotide ribosomal RNA is filed under the name uncultured bacterium. RNAcentral describes it as "partial 16S ribosomal RNA". It matches the Rfam family "Bacterial small subunit ribosomal RNA", at positions 28 to 507 of the family's 1533-position model. The record is from RNAcentral.
GACGAACGCUGGCGGCGUGCCUAAUACAUGCAAGUAGAACGCUGAAGGAGGAGCUUGCUUCUCCGGAUGAGUUGCGAACGGGUGAGUAACGCGUAGGUAACCUGCCUGGUAGCGGGGGAUAACUAUUGGAAACGAUAGCUAAUACCGCAUAACAGUAGAUAUCGCAUGAUAUCUGCUUGAAAGGUGCAAUUGCAUCACUACCAGAUGGACCUGCGUUGUAUUAGCUAGUUGGUGAGGUAACGGCUCACCAAGGCGACGAUACAUAGCCGACCUGAGAGGGUGAUCGGCCACGCUGGGACUGAGACACGGCCCAGACUCCUACGGGAGGCAGCAGUAGGGAAUCUUCGGCAAUGGACGGAAGUCUGACCGAGCAACGCCGCGUGAGUGAAGAAGGUUUUCGGAUCGUAAAGCUCUGUUGUAAGAGAAGAACGGGUGUGAGAGUGGAAAGUUCACACUGUGACGGUAUCUUACCAGAAAGGGACGGCUAACUACGUG